This 1422-nucleotide unclassified non-coding RNA is filed under the name Hevea brasiliensis (rubber tree). Lineage: Eukaryota; Viridiplantae; Streptophyta; Magnoliopsida; Malpighiales; Euphorbiaceae. The record is from RNAcentral.
GAGACUUGGAUGCUCUUCCUCUUUCUCUCUCUCUCCUUCUCUAUCUAUCGUAGCUCCCAAGUCCCAACAAACACUCACUGCAAGCAAAAAAGCAGAGAGUAGUAGAUUUAAAGGAAGCACAAAGCCCACCCUUACAAAAAAGCAACUAAAAAAAUAUCUUCUUAAUUCAGUCCUUAUUAGAUCUCUUAAGUUAUUCCUUUCCAUUCACACAAGCUCAGGUGAAGAGACGUGAGAGCUAGUUCGAAUAAGAUUUUGUUCUAGUUUUUUGUUUUUAUUUUGUAGCAUUUGUGGUUAUCAGGAAAAAAAAAUGGAGAAAAGCACUCCAGUUCGAAAAUCUCACACUAACACUGCAGAUCUGCUCACUUGGUCGGAAAAUCCGCCGGAAAAUUCCCCGGCAAUCGGUUCUGCUGCUUCCGCUGCCCGGUCUCGUCAGCCGUCUGAUGGGAUCCAAAAAGUGGUAUUUGGUGGUCAAGUGACUGAUGAAGAAGUUGAGAGUUUGAACAAGAGGAAACCUUGUUCUGGUUAUAAACUAAAGGAGAUGACAGGUAGCGGUAUUUUUGUAGCUGAUGGAGAAAAUGGCGUUUUAGAAUCUGACAGUACUAAUCCCAUUCCAAAUAGAAGGAUGUAUCAGCAAGCUGUAUCUGGUAUAAGUCAAAUUUCAUUUGGUGAUGAAGACACCGUGUCUCCAAAGAAGCCAGUCACUAUCCCUGAAGUGGCAAAGCAGAGGGAACUAAGUGGAACUCUAGAAAGUGAGUCUGAGAUGAAGUUGAAGAAACAAAUUUCUGAUGCAAAGACCAAGGAGCUCGUCGGACAUGACAUUUUUGCUCCUCCACCUGAAAUUCAACCUCGUCCAUCCACUGCUCGUGCAUUGGCAUUAAGAGAAAGCAUUACCAUUGGAGAAGCUGCACCAACAAAUGGUGAUUCGUCUGGUGACGAACAAGUAGUCAAGACAGCCAAGAAGAUUCCUGAAAAGAAGCUUGCAGAGCUCACAGGAAAUGACAUAUUCAAGGGCGAUAAUCCUCCAGCAUCAGCUGAGAAGCACCUGAGUUCAGCAAAGUUGCGAGAAAUGAGUGGAAGCAAUAUAUUUGCAGAUGGGAAAGUAGAAUCUCGAGACUUCUAUGGCGGGGUUCGCAAGCCUCCAGGUGGUGAGAGCAGCAUUGCAUUGGUGUAACUUGUUAGGUCUAACUCAAUUUACAUCAUUAAUUGUGUUUCCCUUUUUAUUAUCCAUUAUUUGUAGUUGGGGUUUGAUUCUGAUGUGAUUUGACCAGUGUUCUGGAAUUUAUUAUGUCCCUAGGAUCUUAUUUGACAUGUCAACCAGAACUAAGAACUUUUGGCUAAUUGGGUUGUAUGUUGUUCAUAAAUCUCUGUUUCUGGUGGACUUUGUUUGUGUGAUAAUGUGUCAUCUGAGUUCAAUUAAUUAAU